AUUGAACGCUGGCGGCAGGCCUAACACAUGCAAGUCGAACGGUAACAGGAAACAGCUUGCUGUUUCGCUGACGAGUGGCGGACGGGUGAGUAAUGUCUGGGAAACUGCCUGAUGGAGGGGGAUAACUACUGGAAACGGUAGCUAAUACCGCAUAACGUCGCAAGACCAAAGAGGGGGACCUUCGGGCCUCUUGCCAUCGGAUGUGCCCAGAUGGGAUUAGCUUGUUGGUGGGGUAACGGCUCACCAAGGCGACGAUCCCUAGCUGGUCUGAGAGGAUGACCAGCCACACUGGAACUGAGACACGGUCCAGACUCCUACGGGAGGCAGAAGUGGGGAAUAUUGCACAAUGGGCGCAAGCCUGAUGCAGCCAUGCCGCGUGUAUGAAGAAGGCCUUCGGGUUGUAAAGUACUUCAGCGGGGAGGAAGGGAGUAAAGUUAAUACCUUUACUCAUUGACGUUACCCGCAGAAGAAGCACCGGCUAACUCCGUGCCAGCCGCCGCCGUAA
RNAcentral lists this ribosomal RNA (505 nucleotides) under uncultured bacterium. Its description in RNAcentral is "partial 16S ribosomal RNA". It matches the Rfam family "Bacterial small subunit ribosomal RNA", at positions 30 to 523 of the family's 1533-position model. The record is from RNAcentral.